This 464-nucleotide ribosomal RNA is filed under the name uncultured bacterium. RNAcentral's name for it is "partial 16S ribosomal RNA". It matches the Rfam family "Bacterial small subunit ribosomal RNA", at positions 28 to 507 of the family's 1533-position model. The record is from RNAcentral.
GGCGAACGCUGGCGGCGUGCUUAACACAUGCAAGUCGAGCGGAAAGGCCACUUCGGUGGUACUCGAGCGGCGAACGGGUGAGUAACACGUGAGUAAUCUGCCCUUUGCUUUGGGAUAGCCACCGGAAACGGUGAUUAAUACCGGAUACGACCACUCCAGGCAUCUGGUGGUGGUGGAAAGUUUUUCGGCCAGGGAUGUGCUCGCGGCCUAUCAGCUUGAUGGUGAGGUAAUGGCUCACCAUGGCUUCGACGGGUAGCCGGCCUGAGAGGGUGACCGGUCACACUGGGACUGAGGCACGGCGCAGACUCCUACGGGAGGCAGCAGUGGGGAAUAUUGGACAAUGGGAGGAAGCCUGAUCCAGCAACGCCGCGUGAGGGAUGACGGCCUUCGGGUUGUAAACCUCUUUCGGUAGGGACGAAGCGCAAGUGACGGUACCUACUAAAGAAGCACCGGCCAACUACGUG